CCUUUAAACCCUUUUUGCAUCUAGUAAUACACCUGUUCUGAAACAAAUUUAAUCGUUACAACUUUCAACAAUGGAUCUCUUGGCUCUGGCAUCGAUGAAGAACGCAGCGAAAUGCGAUAAGUAGUGUGAAUUGCAGAAUUCAGUGAAUCAUCGAAUCUUUGAACGCACAUUGCGCCCCUUGGUAUUCCAUGGGGCAUGCCUGUUCGAGCGUCAUCUACACCCUCAAGCUCUGCUUGGUGUUGGGCGUCUGUCCCGCCUCCGCGCGUGGACUCGCCCCAAAUCCAUUGGCAGCGUUCCUUGCCCCCUCUCGCGCAGCACGAUGCGCUUCUUGCGGGCGGCUCCGGGGCGCGUUCCACCAAGAUGACCACCGUCUUUGACCUCGGAUCAGGUAGGGAUACCCGCUGAACUUAAGCAUAUCAAUAA
This 423-nucleotide ribosomal RNA is filed under the name Montagnula opulenta. Its description in RNAcentral is "eukaryotic LSU rRNA". The stretch from base 60 to 213 matches the Rfam family "5.8S ribosomal RNA". Lineage: Eukaryota; Fungi; Ascomycota; Dothideomycetes; Pleosporales; Didymosphaeriaceae. The record is from RNAcentral.